This 467-nucleotide ribosomal RNA is filed under the name uncultured bacterium. RNAcentral describes it as "partial 16S ribosomal RNA". It matches the Rfam family "Bacterial small subunit ribosomal RNA", at positions 28 to 507 of the family's 1533-position model. The record is from RNAcentral.
GACGAACGCUGGCGGCGUGCUUAACACAUGCAAGUCGAACGGAAAGGCCUCUUUCGGGGGGUACUCGAGUGGCGAACGGGUGAGUAACACGUGAGUAACCUGCCCUUGACUUUGGGAUAACUUCAGGAAACUGGGGCUAAUACCGGAUAGUAGCUCCUGCUGCAUGGUGGGGGUUGGAAAGUUUCGGCGGUUGGGGAUGGACUCGCGGCGUAUCAGCUUGUUGGUGGGGUAGUGGCUUAACAAGGCUUUGACGGGUAGCUGGCCUGAGAGGGUGACCGGCGACACUGGCAAUAAGAUUAGGCGCAGCAGCCGACGGGAGGCAGCAGUGGUGAAUAUUGGCCCAUGGGUGGCAGCCCGCUGCAGCAACGCCGUGUGCGGGAUGACGGCCUUCGGGUUGUAAACCGCUUUCCCUCCUGACGAAGCUUUGUCUGACGGUAGUGGGUAAAGAAGCACCGGCUAACUACGUG